GAGCUUAGUACAGGUGUUGCAUGGCUGUCGUCAGCUCGUGUCGUGAGAUGUUCGGUUAAGUCCGCUAACGAGCGCAACCCUCGUCGUAUGUUAUAUGUGUCAUACGAGACUGCCGGUAAAAAGACCGGAGGAAGGUGAGGAUGAUGUCAAGUCAGCAUGACCUUUAUAUCCAGGGCUACACACACGCUACAAUGGUCUGUACAAUGGGUAGCCAAGCCGCGAGGCGGAGCCAAUCCUGAAAGCAGGCCUCAGUUCAGAUUGCAGUCUGCAACUCGACUGCAUGAAGCCGGAGUUGCUAGUAACCGCAGGUCAGCAAUACUGCGGUGAAUACGUUCCCGGGUCUU
RNAcentral lists this ribosomal RNA (344 nucleotides) under uncultured Anaerolineaceae bacterium. RNAcentral's name for it is "bacterial SSU rRNA". It matches the Rfam family "Bacterial small subunit ribosomal RNA", at positions 1025 to 1382 of the family's 1533-position model. Lineage: Bacteria; Bacillati; Chloroflexota; Anaerolineae; Anaerolineales; Anaerolineaceae. The record is from RNAcentral.